Molecule: ribosomal RNA, 588 nt
Filed under: Trichoderma erinaceum
Lineage: Eukaryota; Fungi; Ascomycota; Sordariomycetes; Hypocreales; Hypocreaceae
Description: eukaryotic LSU rRNA
Rfam family: 5.8S ribosomal RNA (bases 211-364)
Source: RNAcentral
GGUGAACCUGCGGAGGGAUCAUUACCGAGUUUACAACUCCCAAACCCAAUGUGAACCAUACCAAACUGUUGCCUCGGCGGGGUCACGCCCCGGGUGCGUCGCAGCCCCGGAACCAGGCGCCCGCCGGAGGGACCAACCAAACUCUUUACUGUAGUCCCCUCGCGGACGUUAUUUCUUACAGCUCUGAGCAAAAAAUUCAAAAUGAAUCAAAACUUUCAACAACGGAUCUCUUGGUUCUGGCAUCGAUGAAGAACGCAGCGAAAUGCGAUAAGUAAUGUGAAUUGCAGAAUUCAGUGAAUCAUCGAAUCUUUGAACGCACAUUGCGCCCGCCAGUAUUCUGGCGGGCAUGCCUGUCCGAGCGUCAUUUCAACCCUCGAACCCCUCCGGGGGGUCGGCGUUGGGGAUCGGGAACCCCUCAGACGGGAUCCCGGCCCCGAAAUACAGUGGCGGUCUCGCCGCAGCCUCUCCUGCGCAGUAGUUUGCACAACUCGCACCGGGAGCGCGGCGCGUCCACGUCCGUAAAACACCCAACUUUCUGAAAUGUUGACCUCGGAUCAGGUAGGAAUACCCGCUGAACUUAAGCAUAUC